AAAUUGAAGAGUUUGAUCAUGGCUCAGAUUGAACGCUGGCGGCAGGCCUAACACAUGCAAGUCGAACGGUAACAGGAAGCAGCUUGCUGCUUUGCUGACGAGUGGCGGACGGGUGAGUAAUGUCUGGGAAACUGCCUGAUGGAGGGGGAUAACUACUGGAAACGGUAGCUAAUACCGCAUAACGUCGCAAGACCAAAGAGGGGGACCUUCGGGCCUCUUGCCAUCGGAUGUGCCCAGAUGGGAUUAGCUAGUAGGUGGGGUAACGGCUCACCUAGGCGACGAUCCCUAGCUGGUCUGAGAGGAUGACCAGCCACACUGGAACUGAGACACGGUCCAGACUCCUACGGGAGGCAGCAGUGGGGAAUAUUGCACAAUGGGCGCAAGCCUGAUGCAGCCAUGCCGCGUGUAUGAAGAAGGCCUUCGGGUUGUAAAGUACUUUCAGCGGGGAGGAAGGGAGUAAAGUUAAUACCUUUACUCAUUGACGUUACCCGCAGAAGAAGCACCGGCUAACUCCGUGCCAGCAGCCGCGGUAAUACGGAGGGUGCAAGCGUUAAUCGGAAUUACUGGGCGUAAAGCGCACGCAGGCGGUUUGUUAAGUCAGAUGUGAAAUCCCCGGGCUCAACCUGGGAACUGCAUCUGAUACUGGCAAGCUUGAGUCUCGUAGAGGGGGGUAGAAUUCCAGGUGUAGCGGUGAAAUGCGUAGAGAUCUGGAGGAAUACCGGUGGCGAAGGCGGCCCCCUGGACGAAGACUGACGCUCAGGUGCGAAAGCGUGGGGAGCAAACAGGAUUAGAUACCCUGGUAGUCCACGCCGUAAACGAUGUCGACUUGGAGGUUGUGCCCUUGAGGCGUGGCUUCCGGAGCUAACGCGUUAAGUCGACCGCCUGGGGAGUACGGCCGCAAGGUUAAAACUCAAAUGAAUUGACGGGGGCCCGCACAAGCGGUGGAGCAUGUGGUUUAAUUCGAUGCAACGCGAAGAACCUUACCUGGUCUUGACAUCCACGGAAGUUUUCAGAGAUGAGAAUGUGCCUUCGGGAACCGUGAGACAGGUGCUGCAUGGCUGUCGUCAGCUCGUGUUGUGAAAUGUUGGGUUAAGUCCCGCAACGAGCGCAACCCUUAUCCUUUGUUGCCAGCGGUCCGGCCGGGAACUCAAAGGAGACUGCCAGUGAUAAACUGGAGGAAGGUGGGGAUGACGUCAAGUCAUCAUGGCCCUUACGACCAGGGCUACACACGUGCUACAAUGGCGCAUACAAAGAGAAGCGACCUCGCGAGAGCAAGCGGACCUCAUAAAGUGCGUCGUAGUCCGGAUUGGAGUCUGCAACUCGACUCCAUGAAGUCGGAAUCGCUAGUAAUCGUGGAUCAGAAUGCCACGGUGAAUACGUUCCCGGGCCUUGUACACACCGCCCGUCACACCAUGGGAGUGGGUUGCAAAAGAAGUAGGUAGCUUAACCUUCGGGAGGGCGCUUACCACUUUGUGAUUCAUGACUGGGGUGAAGUCGUAACAAGGUAACCGUAGGGGAACCUGCGGUUGGAUCACCUCCUUACCUUAAAGAA
Molecule: ribosomal RNA, 1552 nt
Filed under: Escherichia fergusonii
Lineage: Bacteria; Pseudomonadati; Pseudomonadota; Gammaproteobacteria; Enterobacterales; Enterobacteriaceae
Description: bacterial SSU rRNA
Rfam family: Bacterial small subunit ribosomal RNA
Source: RNAcentral